UGCAUAUCAAAAAGCGGAGGAAAAGAAACCAACCGGGAUUGCCUUAGUAACGGCGAGUGAAGCGGCAAAAGCUCAAAUUUGAAAUCUGGUACCUUCGGUGCCCGAGUUGUAAUUUGGAGAGGGCAACUUUGGGGCCGUUCCUUGUCUAUGUUCCUUGGAACAGGACGUCAUAGAGGGUGAGAAUCCCGUGUGGCGAGGAGUGCGGUUCUUUGUAAAGUGCCUUCGAAGAGUCGAGUUGUUUGGGAAUGCAGCUCUAAGUGGGUGGUAAAUUCCAUCUAAAGCUAAAUAUUGGCGAGAGACCGAUAGCGAACAAGUACAGUGAUGGAAAGAUGAAAAGAACUUUGAAAAGAGAGUGAAAAAGUACGUGAAAUUGUUGAAAGGGAAGGGCAUUUGAUCAGACAUGGUGUUUUGUGCCCUCUGCUCCUUGUGGGUAGGGGAAUCUCGCAUUUCACUGGGCCAGCAUCAGUUUUGGUGGCAGGAUAAAUCCAUAGGAAUGUAGCUUGCCUCGGUAAGUAUUAUAGCCUGUGGGAAUACUGCCAGCUGGGACUGAGGACUGCGACGUAAGUCAAGGAUGCUGGCAUAAUGGUUAUAUGCCGCCCGUCUUGAACUACGGACCA
RNAcentral lists this ribosomal RNA (617 nucleotides) under Saccharomyces cerevisiae (brewer's yeast). RNAcentral's name for it is "partial large subunit ribosomal RNA". It matches the Rfam family "Eukaryotic large subunit ribosomal RNA", at positions 37 to 668 of the family's 3401-position model. The record is from RNAcentral. Lineage: Eukaryota; Fungi; Ascomycota; Saccharomycetes; Saccharomycetales; Saccharomycetaceae.